UUAGGCUCUUCCUUAAACUCGUCUAAUUUUGAACGCCGUCAGUAACAAACUGGUUUACAUUGCAUAGUGUAAACAGGAUAUAACGGUGCACGACAGACUCCACAUAAUUUCCAACCUUCUCUAUGAUAUUUUUAUUCACAUGUCGUAUGUCGAAAAGAUGAAGGACCAGACAUACAGUUUAACACAAUGUAACAAGUUUAAAUUCACUUCUUCCGAAAGAUUACAAGGCAUCCAUUAAUAUUUUUCGACACUCGACUGUGUUACAAGGCGUCCACAGUCACGGGGCAGUCCACAGUCACUCGAAAUCUCCCAACCCUGACCGAAGACAAGACGAACGGGGGCGUAAGUUGCUGCAUGCGAUGAGGUCAGGACUCGAACAUCUGCAGGUGGCACUUUGGGGGCACUUCACUGUUGACGCACUCCCUCAUCCCACUAUGACCACCCAUAGUGGCCAUCUGAAUGCGCUUGCUUUUAUUGGACACAACAUUCUAAUUUACCUUUUCGUAACUGUUUUAAUUCUGCUUCGGCCAGAACACAUCCCAACUGCAAUAGUUCAUCAUCCUCUUUAGAUUCUGAAUCUAAAAGUUGUAAGUUACAAUCGCUGCAACUGCUGCUACUUUACUAGACGCCGCAAUUUCUUCAGCGCUCGGGUACGUUUUCUUUUCGAUUCCUAACUUGUGACGUAUUCCUAGUGCUUCCCCCUCGCUUUGGGAGUGACGUCAACAUUCUCUCCCAGCAUUUGCCGAACCCGGUCUUUCAGAUACGAAUGACGUCAGAUGCAGAGACGAAAUCUGUGGUCUAACGAUAUGAGCGAUCCUGGAAAACCUGUCGUUAUCUUUCCCUAUAUUCGGGUAAUCAGCGCAUGCAUCGUGAACAGACUUUUAACCAUUAAUAUUGUUAAUAGUUCGUAGCUGAUGUCUAUAGCAUUAGCUUGUGUGACGUCACGGUUUGCCUCCUCUACCCUUUGGUAGGCAUCGCUAUAAACACUGUUGUGAUAAGGAGAAAUUCGUCGGUUUGAAAAUAAUUUCUGCAUUGAUAGAACUGCAGUGUUUGCCUAAUAAAGCAUAUUUGUUUUUAAAAUAUUACAAACUUGCGUUUAAUUAUUUCGAUAAUUAAUUAUUUUUUAAUUAUGGUUACGAGUUGUUUUGCUUAUGGUUGUACAUACCGAUAUGAAAAA
RNAcentral lists this long non-coding RNA (1177 nucleotides) under Androctonus crassicauda. Lineage: Eukaryota; Metazoa; Arthropoda; Arachnida; Scorpiones; Buthidae. The record is from RNAcentral.